This is a long non-coding RNA of Sceloporus undulatus (fence lizard), 3038 nucleotides long. RefSeq lists it as uncharacterized. NCBI's taxonomy places the organism in Eukaryota, Metazoa, Chordata, Lepidosauria, Squamata, Phrynosomatidae. The transcript has 4 exons. The record is from RefSeq and is a predicted model, not a curated record.
UUGAAACAAAAGCUAAAAUGGGCACAAAUGCACACCUUGAGAUUUGUUAAGAUCUUCCCACCCAAAACAAUGCUUGAGGAGAAAAUGAUUGUUACUCAGUUUUUAUAUAUGCUAGUUUAUGUGUACAUGCUCAUUAAAGGGUUACUUAUUCUAUUGCAGACUGAGAUAACUUGGGCACACCAAAAGGCCAAGUUCAUAAACUUCAAGGUCACUCCCAUUUGCCCAAGCCCACAUCUCAUAUAAAGUAGGAAAUGGUAUUAAUAAUGUGUCUUACUACAUUGUUCACACACCUGGCAUAUAUAAUUGUAACUAUACAUUUUCAUCAUAAAAUGUUUAUAAGAACCUUUUGCCUAUGACACUGAUUGGCAAGAAGUGGAGAUAGUCCGAUAUAUUUUGAACCUCAGGGAAAUGGCACUCAGUAUAAUGUAUGUGUUUCGUUUCUUUUUCCUUCCUUCCUUCCUUUCUUUGCACUUGUGCCAUCCAGGGGCAAUGGUGUUUUCACACCAGGUGACACCCAGUGUGGGAUCAUGUGACUUCUGGGGUGGGACUUCUGGGGCCCAGGGAGCAGUUGUGUGGACCCAGAGAGCACUUGCACAGGCCUAGGGAUCUCCCACGUGGCCCAGAGUGGUAGCCGAAUGGCCCAGAGGAGUGCCCACACAGGCCCAAAUUGUUCUUGCAGAGGCACUGAGAAGCCGCCGCAUGGGCCUAGUACCCGCAGGGGGCCCACUGGGUGUCACUUCCCUCUUCUGAGGUGUCAUUCCCCUUCUGGGGUGUCACCCAGUGCUGCCUGCACCCCCCCCCCCCCCCCCAAGGAUGCUACUGUCCACCUAUAGCAUGCCAAAAAUGCAAGCAAAACAAAAGUGGCCAGGAAUCCAUUUCUGGGCUAGAAAAGCAGGUAUUUUUUAUGUCAAAGAGUACAAAGAGUCACAGAAACCUAUUUAAAAGUUAAAGUGAAGGCUUCAAAUUGUAGCUGUUCACGUUGACUGUUUUUUGUUGUUGUUGUUUGUUUGUUUGUUUGGAUAGAAAAGAAGUUGUUCAGGGAAUCUGCCUCCAAAAUGAAGGAACAGAUAGUCUUGGAAUAUGGGGUUCUCAAGGCUGAAACAGACAGCCUGUGGGCCAGCUUGGGGUUGGCUUGGGUGUGUUGUGCUUAGAUGCACCAUGCCCCCAAGCCAGACAGAAGCCAGACUGGCGAUUUUAUGCUGGCCGGCUUCUCUCCCGCUUGGGGGCGUGGCAUUGCCCCCGAGCUAGCUCUUGUGGGGGAAAUCUGGCUCUUUGGGAGAAGGGCCGGUUUACCACAUUUUAUCCACUCCUUUUGGGGGUGGAAUCUGUCUGGAUUUGGGCCUAAUGUCUGUUCGCCCCAGCUCCAAUCCAGCCUAAAAGGGGAGGCUCUAAGCUGCUUGUUUUCACCCAGUCUGGAAGGUAAACAUCCAGUUACUGAGGGAGAUAAAUUCCGUGAGAUGACCAGGAGGAGAAAGGCUGUGUGUGCUAGCUGCUCCUGGUGUGCUAUUUUUUUCUUGAUAAAGGCAUUGUUUAUUUUUAUUUAUUUUUUUAUCUUAACCCCAGAAACCUUUGAAAAGCAAACUGCUACAGCCUUGUUGGAAAGAUUAGAGCUUCAAGACUUCUGCUGAGGAAGAUCAGAGGACUAGUAUAAAUAGCACCAUGUCUAAUAACACAACUGGAUUGAAGCUGGAAGGACAUUCAGCUGUUCAUAUGCUCAGAGGUGAAAGAUGGGAGAGCUGCUAACAUAAAGGAGGUUAUGAAAGAAAUUGUCUCUCCAUUCGAUGGCCAACAACUGCUUCACUUCAUUAAUAAACCCCAGAUGGUGCUGCUCAGGAGUUUUCAGGUUCAGAACAUCCCAGAAGAGAAUGGCUGCUUACCUUUUUCUCCACUCUACAGAUACAUGGUGGUCAUGCAGAUCAUCCUUGAUUUCCUGUGGGAUGGCAGGGGCUCUCUUGACUCUCCCUGAAAAGGACUGUAUUUUCCCAAUGCUAUGUAGUAUAUCUGGGAAAGAAUUAUUCUAUAAAUGCAUGAGUCAUUAGGUUAGAAUCAUCUUUUCUUCCAAAGGACAACAGAAGAGCAGCUGAGAACCAUCUGGUUCAAGUUGAAUCAACCCUAGGGAGAAGAGGCUAAUUUUCAAUUCACUAAAUAGGGGUUGAGGAAAAAGUUUGUGAGCAUAUCAUGAAAUAUGAUAUCCAAUGAAAAAAAGUGUAAGAGCCAAAACAGUAGGAAUGGAAAGAAUAUUUGAAAAAAGAACACCAUAUUUUCUCAAAUGUUGGGAAACCCUGAUGACGAGUACUGGGACUGAUGAAAAUGUUCACAGUUCAGUACUUAUUGAAAACAAUGAAAACAAGAGGGGGGGGAGUAAAAAUAUAUUAAUAUUGAAGGAAAGUAAGUGUGAGAACAACCCGGAUUUCUCCCUAAAAGUAUUAAUGACUAAUAAAGGUUAAGAACAUUAUCAAAGCAUAAAUUAGAAUAGAAUAAGUAAGCUAAACAAAGGGGAAAAUGGUGAAAGUAAUGACAAAGUAUGAAGAUGUGGCAUUGAGAACCGUGAUAAAUGACAGAAAGUCAAGAACUUAAGGAACUGACAAAUCAGCAAAUGAUGGAAAGGAAGUAAGGUAUAAGUGGAUAGAGAAUGAAAGAAAGUGAAAGAAGUUUAGAGUAAGUGGAAGAUGGUAAGAGAGAGAAAAUGGGACUUAGAUGGAUAAGAUAAGAAGGAUAAGGAAAGAAGGGAGGAAAGAGAGAAAGAAUAGGUAAGCUAGCGUUAGAAUGAUUGAAGGAAUAGAAAGUGAGGUAUAAAGUAGAAGGAUAUUGAGUGAAAGGGAAUGAUUGAAAGGUCAUCAAUGCUGAUUGUGUUAGAAAGAUAAUAAACUAAACAAAAACAUUAAUGAAGAUGUAAAAUUGUAUGUUUUGUAUGCUUGUAAUAUUGUAUGUUUGUUUUAAAAUUGGGGAGGGAAGAAUAUAUGUCUAUGUUUGUCUAUGUUUAUGCUUAAGUUUUAAAGUUCAAUAAAAAUAUUUUUUUAAAAAACAGUUCAAUACUU